Molecule: ribosomal RNA, 905 nt
Filed under: uncultured delta proteobacterium
Lineage: Bacteria; Deltaproteobacteria
Description: bacterial SSU rRNA
Rfam family: Bacterial small subunit ribosomal RNA
Source: RNAcentral
GGCGAUGGGGCGUCUACCAUGCAGUCGAGCGCGAAAGGGGGGGGCAACUCCCCCGAGUAGAGCGGCGCACGGGUGAGUAACGCGUGGGUAACCUACCCCUCGGCGGGGGAUAACUACUCGAAAGGGUGGCUAAUACCGCAUGAGACCACGGGGUCUUCGGAUCCUGAGGCCAAAGGUCGCUCCGGCUUGCCGGGGCGGUCACCGGGGGAUGGGCCCGCGUCCGAUUAGCUAGUUGGUGAGGUAACGGCUCACCAAGGCUACGAUCGGUAGCUGGUCUGAGAGGAUGAUCAGCCACACUGGAACUGGAACACGGUCCAGACUCCUACGGGAGGCAGCAGUGAGGAAUAUUGCGCAAUGGGGGAAACCCUGACGCAGCAACGCCGCGUGGGUGAAGAAGGCCUUCGGGUCGUAAAGCCCUUUCGGACGGGACGAACGCUCCGCGGUGACAACCCGCGGAGCCUGACGGUACCGUAAGAAGAAGCACCGGCUAACUCCGUGCCAGCAGCCGCGGUAAUACGGAGGGUGCAAGCGUUGUUCGGAAUUACUGGGCGUAAAGCGCGUGUAGGCGGCCUUGCAAGCCAGACGUGAAAGCCCCCGGCUUAACCGGGGAAGUGCGUCUGGAACUGCUCGGCUCGAGUACGGGAGAGGGAGGCGGAAUUCCCAGUGUAGAGGUGAAAUUCGUAGAUAUUGGGAGGAACACCGGUGGCGAAAGCGGCCUCCUGGACCGAUACUGACGCUGAGACGCGAAAGCGUGGGGAGCAAACAGGAUUAGAUACCCUGGUAGUCCACGCUGUAAACGAUGGGCACUAGGUGUGGGGGGUAUCCACUCCUCCCGUGCCGCAACUAACGCAUUAAAGUGCCCCGCCUGGGAGUACGGCCGCAAGGUUAAACUCAAGGAGUGACGG